CACACAUGAAGGUAUUCAGCUUUGGAUGAUGACAAUCACACAAGACAAGGUCAAGUGUGCCAAGUGAAGGGAGUCAUCUUUACAAGGUGUGCCUGGGGGAAGGUCACUGAUGAGACAGCUGCUGUUUCUACCAUUAACAGUUCUUACUGUGCCACCAACUGUGGGUGUGCUGGAUGGGCACCAUGGGUCAGAAUAACAGCAGCAACCCCCUGCGGGAGAACCUGGAGUCACUCCAUAACCAGAUGAUGAAGCAUGCAGGAGCAGACUAUGACAUUGCCACUACCACCACACUCACCUAUGACCAGUUCCUCACCUACAUUACACAGCUUAACCAAAUAUGCCGUGAAUACAAAGACAGAGAAGGCCACAUGCUGGUCUUUGCCGUCAAGAAAGGCACUGAUUCCACUGUUUUCUGGAAAGCCACAGUCCGCAUUGCUUGUGUUAAGCUCAACACCAUUACCAACAAGGUUCAGUCAUAUCGCCUCCUCAACAUUCGCCAGUUCCUUCAGGUGUUCCGUCGAGUUACCUAUGAAUGUACUGGGGGAACACUGGGCAGUAUUGAUGGAGUACUUGGGACUGAUAUUGCAGGGGAUUGUAGCUCAAUGGAACAGGGCUCAGUGGUGCCUAUCCCUCCUACUAUGGCUGCCUCAUUGGUGCUGGGAGGGAUGCAGGAGGUGACUCAGGACACUUCAGCAGCUGCCUCCACCAGCCAGGAGGAGAUGGAGAGCCCAGGGGCAGUUGGUGGCUGGGACGUCAACCUGAGCGAGUGCAUGAUCUGUCUGGAGCGCAAGCCAGAUGUCAUCCUGCCUUGUACUCAUGCCUACUGCCUCCCCUGCAUAGAGCAAUGGUGGGAAUAUGCUAGACCUACCUCACAAGAAUGUGCCUCCUCCUCCUCUUCCUCCUCCUCCACCACCAGUCUUGUGUACCCAGUCCCGCCAUGUGUUCAGCCGAAGACCGCUGUAGUGAGUGUUCCCACCUCUCCCUUCUCCAGUUCCAAGCGUAUGUGAAGGAUGCUGAGAAGCGUUAUGCUAAGGAGAAGAAGCAGGCCAAGUCGUCUGUCAGUUCCAGUGAGAAGCGUUCUCGCCGGCAGGAGCCAGCUUCUGAGGCCCCUUGGGCCAGCAGGUCAGUGGUGGAGAAGACCUGCCCCAUGUGCCGUGAAUCUUUGGAGAGCACUGAUGACACCUGGGUGCUCUCUGAGGCUCCAGACUCUGACCAAGUCAAUGAAGAGAUCCGCAAGACACUCAUCAGCCUAGCAG
This 1256-nucleotide unclassified non-coding RNA is filed under the name Portunus trituberculatus (swimming crab). RNAcentral describes it as "rING finger protein 141-like, transcript variant X4". The record is from RNAcentral. Lineage: Eukaryota; Metazoa; Arthropoda; Malacostraca; Decapoda; Portunidae.